Molecule: ribosomal RNA, 254 nt
Filed under: uncultured bacterium
Lineage: Bacteria
Description: partial 16S ribosomal RNA
Rfam family: Bacterial small subunit ribosomal RNA
Source: RNAcentral
UACGUAGGGGGCGAGCGUUGUCCGGAUUUAUUGGGCGUAAAGAGCUCGUAGGCGGUUUGGUAAGUUGGAUGUGAAAUCUCCAGGCUCAACUUGGAGGGGUCAUUCGAUACUGCCAUGACUAGAGUUCGGUAGGGGAGUGUGGAAUUCCUGGUGGAGCGGUGAAAUGCGCAGAUAUCAGGAAGAACACCCGUGGCGAAGGCGGUUCUCUGGGACGGUACUGACGCUGAGACGCGAAAGCGUGGGGAGCGAACAGG